This 497-nucleotide ribosomal RNA is filed under the name uncultured bacterium. RNAcentral describes it as "partial 16S ribosomal RNA". It matches the Rfam family "Bacterial small subunit ribosomal RNA", at positions 28 to 507 of the family's 1533-position model. The record is from RNAcentral.
GACGAACGCUGGCGGCGUGCCUAAUACAUGCAAGUUGAGCGAUGAAGAUUGGUGCUUGCACCAAUUUGAAGAGCAGCGAACGGGUGAGUAACGCGUGGGGAAUCUGCCUUUGAGCGGGGGACAACAUUUGGAAACGAAUGCUGAUACCGCAUAAUAACUUUAAACAUAAGUUUUAAGUUUGAAAGAUGCAAUUGCAUCACUCAAAGAUGAUCCCGCGUUGUAUUAGCUAGUUGGUGAGGUAAAGGCUCACCAAGGCGAUGAUACAUAGCCGACCUGAGAGGGUGAGCGGCCACAUUGGGACUGAGACACGGCCCAAACUCCUACGGGAGGCAGCAGUAGGGAAUCUUCGGCAAUGGACGAAAGUCUGACCGAGCAACGCCGCGUGAGUGAAGAAGGUUUUCGGAUCGUAAAACUCUGUUGGUAGAGAAGAACGUUGGUGAGAGUGGAAAGCUCAUCAAGUGACGGUAACUACCCAGAAAGGGACGGCUAACUACGUG